CCUACGGGUGGCAGCAGUGAGGAAUAUUGGUCAAUGGGCGCAAGCCUGAACCAGCCAAGUCGCGUGAGGGAUGACGGUCCUAUGGAUUGUAAACCUCUUUUGUCGGGGAGCAAGGCCCGCCACGUGUGGCGGGAAGGAGAGUACCCGAAGAAAAAGCAUCGGCUAACUCCGUGCCAGCAGCCGCGGUAAUACGGAGGGAGCGAGCGUUAUCCGGAAUUAUUGGGCGUAAAGGGUGCGUAGAUGGCAUAGUAAGUCUUUUGUAAAAAUGCUGGGCUCAACCCAGUAGGGCAAAAGAUACUGCAAAGCUAGAGUAUGACAGAGGCAAGUGGAACUACAUGUGUAGCGGUAAAAUGCGUAAAUAUAUGUAAGAACACCAGUGGCGAAGGCGGCUUGCUGGGUCGAUACUGACAUUGAGGCACGAAAGCGUGGGGAGCAAACAGGAUUAGAUACCCCUGUAGUC
This 460-nucleotide ribosomal RNA is filed under the name uncultured bacterium. RNAcentral's name for it is "partial 16S ribosomal RNA". It matches the Rfam family "Bacterial small subunit ribosomal RNA", at positions 338 to 795 of the family's 1533-position model. The record is from RNAcentral.